UGCGGUAUCCGUGAACCGCCCUGAC
This 25-nucleotide microRNA is filed under the name Bombyx mori (domestic silkworm). RNAcentral's name for it is "bmo-miR-3359". Lineage: Eukaryota; Metazoa; Arthropoda; Insecta; Lepidoptera; Bombycidae. The record is from miRBase by way of RNAcentral.